AUACGAAGGGGGCUAGCGUUGUUCGGAAUUACUGGGCGUAAAGCGCACGUAGGCGGACAUUUAAGUCAGGGGUGAAAUCCCGGGGCUCAACCCCGGAACUGCCUUUGAUACUGGGUGUCUAGAGUAUGGAAGAGGUGAGUGGAAUUCCGAGUGUAGAGGUGAAAUUCGUAGAUAUUCGGAGGAACACCAGUGGCGAAGGCGGCUCACUGGUCCAUUACUGACGCUGAGGUGCGAAAGCGUGGGGAGCAAACAGGAUUAGAAACCCCAGUAGUCC
Molecule: ribosomal RNA, 274 nt
Filed under: uncultured bacterium
Lineage: Bacteria
Description: partial 16S ribosomal RNA
Rfam family: Bacterial small subunit ribosomal RNA
Source: RNAcentral